CUUUGUCUCUGCCUUUGACUCCAGGUUUACCUACAGUUCCACUGCUUCCAUCCUCCUCUAAUCGCACCUUCAGCCCCUUGCUCCACUGAAUCCUGCCACCACCAGCUUCAACCCUGCCAGCACGCUACCAGGUUUGAUGCCGCUGCCUGGGGGGUUACCUCCACUCCCUAACCUGCCCAACCUCAACCUGCCACUGCCAGACCUCAGUGCUGUGUCACUACCAGG
This is a long non-coding RNA of Thalassophryne amazonica, 225 nucleotides long. RefSeq lists it as uncharacterized. The record is from RefSeq and is a predicted model, not a curated record. Lineage: Eukaryota; Metazoa; Chordata; Actinopteri; Batrachoidiformes; Batrachoididae. The transcript has 2 exons.